Molecule: ribosomal RNA, 253 nt
Filed under: uncultured bacterium
Lineage: Bacteria
Description: partial 16S ribosomal RNA
Rfam family: Bacterial small subunit ribosomal RNA
Source: RNAcentral
UACGUAGGGUGCAAGCGUUGUCCGGAAUUACUGGGCGUAAAGCGCACGUAGGCGGCUUGGUAUGUCGGGUGUGAAAUCCCCGGGCUCAACCUGGGAACUGCAUCCGAAACUGCCUUGCUAGAGUAUGGGAGAGGGAAGUGGAAUUUCCGGUGUAGCGGUGAAAUGCGUAGAUAUCGGAAGGAACAUCAGUGGCGAAGGCGACCUCCUGGACCAAUACUGACGCUCAGGUGCGAAAGCGUGGGGAGCAAACAGG